This 496-nucleotide ribosomal RNA is filed under the name uncultured bacterium. RNAcentral describes it as "partial 16S ribosomal RNA". It matches the Rfam family "Bacterial small subunit ribosomal RNA", at positions 28 to 506 of the family's 1533-position model. The record is from RNAcentral.
GAUGAACGCUGGCGGCGUGCCUAAUACAUGCAAGUCGAGCGAACGGACGAGAAGCUUGCUUCUCUGAUGUUAGCGGCGGACGGGUGAGUAACACGUGGAUAACCUACCUAUAAGACUGGGAUAACUUCGGGAAACCGGAGCUAAUACCGGAUAAUAUUUUGAACCGCAUGGUUCAAAAGUGAAAGACGGUCUUGCUGUCACUUCUAGAUGGAUCCGCGCUGCAUUAUCUAGUUGGUAAGGUAACGGCUUACCAAGGCAAUGAUGCAUAGCCGACCUGAGAGGGGGAUCGGCCACACAGAAACUGAGACACGGUCCAGACUCCUACGGGAGGCAGCAGUAGGGAAGCUUCCGCAAUGGGCGAAAGCCUGACGGAGCAACGCAGCGUGAGUGAUGAAGGUCUUCGGAUCGUAAAACGCUGUUAUUAGGGAAGAACAUAUGUGUAAGUAACUGUGCACAUCUUGACGGUACCUAAUCAGAAAGCCACGGCUAACUACGU